GAGCACAGCACACACAGAACCUGGGAUGGCACCGAGUUUUUCCACGUUUGAGAAGUUGAAAGAAGGCUGGAAAAUGAUACAAAAGAAAGAAAAAGAAGACAGGGGGCAAGUGGUAAUAAGGGGAAAGACUAUGUACUAUGUGGGUAUUUCCAUGCAUUGCUCCUGAUUUAAAAUCAAAGUUAUGUUUAGGAAAAAUUAAAAACUCGAGGCCCUUGUAAAGGGGCGGGAUGGGGAAGGGGGAGGAGGCAGGGGCAUCUCCCCGGAGGGGUGCCUCUGCUGUGCGCAAAGGCCUGUGCCGGGGGCUCCCUGUGUGUGGGCGGAGGGCCCGCCCGGGGCCCAGGUGGUGAAUCGCUGGCCGGGUCCAGCCAGCAGCCCCGCCUCCCGCCACGGGCGAGUCAUGGGGGACCCCAACAGGCGUUAGACCAAGUGCUCCGUUUCAGAGAUACAACCGCCGGCACAGGGAGGAGGCCGGCUUGAACAGAGAACUUUCAGAGCCUCCGCAGUCCCAGUGUGAGUUCACUGCCCUAAUCGAUGGAAACAGUGGACCUGCAAAGUGCUGCUCACAGGCUGAGUCCCACUGGCUGAUGUGUUUUCUUUAGUUUAUAAAGUGUUACAAUUUUUUAAAAAAUUAGUAGCAAAUAUUAAAAAUUAAGGGAUUUUAUACAAAAUGUCUUUGCUGUUUCCCCGAGAAGCCCGUGGCUCUGGCAGCGCUGGGUGGGCCGACACGCCCCGUCAGGCCCCAGCCUGGCAGGUCACCCUGCGGCCCCCGCCCCGCCCCCCAGCCGUCACGCGAGCGCGGCCCGUUGGCCUCGGUCAGCAGGGGAGCCUGCGUGAGGGCAACAUUUCAGGGCAGAGCCUGAAGCACACGGUCCUGGGGGAUGGACGAGGGACCGGAAGAGACUACACUGGCCUAAGAUUUCUAAAGAGGUGAGUGGAGUGGAGAACGAAAAGCAGCCCCGGGUAUGGGCAGCCUACACGUGGGUCUCAUUUCAGAGCAGAGGAGCCAGGGAAUCCAAAGCCCAGCCAAGCGACUUGAGCCGGGCGGUCAAGGGCAGAGCCGACCGACACGGGGCCCGGUGGAGGACAGGGCUCGCCGCAGGGCACGGAGGCCUGGGCCCGGCCCUGCUCCACCACCAGCCAGCCCCUGGCCGACAGUCCUCCGUCCACACCGGGGCCGUCUCCGGAUGCCACGUCAGGUACCUCAUCUGCGUCAGGCGAGACGGUUCCAGUUCCACACGGGAGGCGCUCGGGCCCCGCCCUGAGGCAGCAGUGUGGCCGAGCCCAGCAGGACACCCAGCCGACACGAGCACUGUCCCUAAGGAUCCCUGAAAUACUGGAUGAGCUGCAGCCUAGCCACAUGGAGACGAGGAGACCCGACAUUGUAAGCUCAUGUCCGGGGUCGGCGCUCACGAGAUGGGGUCUCGGCGCUGGGAAGCAGGCUGGGCGCGUCCGUUCGCUCUCCGGCCAGGAUGCCAAGGACACCCAGCGACACCACAGCCCGGGCUGCUGGCGACGGGCAGCCUCAGGCUCUGGCUGCAGGUGACUUUCCACACACACUAAGCACUGGUGCCGGGAAUCCCACGCCUCGCCUGAGAGGGACACUGCUGUUUUCAGAAGUGGUCAGCUUAGAGAAACGCGAGACCGGCACAGAGAGAACGUCUCCAGGGAGGAAGGGGGGGUGUUCGUGGUUAAGAGUAAGAGCCUCAGAACCACUUCGCUCCAUGAGAUAGAGUUUGCCGCUCAAACCUCUCGCAGUAAGUCUGGCACGCGAACACCACUUAUUUCAGCUCAAUGUUCCACCCACGCCUAAAACACUGACCGUCACCAAAUAAAACCCCUCACCCACUUUCAUGGUUUUCAGCACAUGGUGCUGGGCGGCAGAGGCCUGGGAGGGGCUGCUUGAGCUCUGCGGCUGGGGGACGCGGCCAGCUGCUGGGAGCUUCGGCUCUGUAACCCUUAAACCCAGGCAGCUUUAUCUGCUCGGCACCUAGCGAAGAGGCUGCACCUAAUCUGCACUCAGCGUCGUGGUUUCCUUCACCCACCAGGCAAAUCCACUUUGUUACAAACACACUUAAUCGACAAGAAGGUGGUUCUCUCCCGUCACAUCACUUGUCAGCUCUCCUGAGCCCGCAGGAGGUGUGUGCACCUCUGUAAAAGGGCUGAUCUUCUGCGUGAAGGGGCUCAGAGGAACGCGCUCGAAGCAGCAGAGGGCCCACCGUCACAGAUGUGACAUCGUCACUCCUGACACCAGCUUGUGAUCCGCCUCGUGGUGCCGUCCUCACCACCCAGCUCCCCAGUUUCAUGUGAAAAGAAGAAGAAAUACAAGACAACAGACUAAAGGAAGGGUCAAAAGAUGAAAAGAGAAAAACAUCAAGCUCCCGUAUUCUCUACAAUACUGUCAUUUGGGGAUUCUAUACCUCAUGAUGUUUUUCUUUCAUCCACCUGUAUGACUAUCAGCAAUAGGAACCUCUCUGAGGUCCCGUUUCCUCACCCGUGAAGUGGCGCUAAGGCCCUCCAGCCCGUUUACAGCCUCACGUGUGCAACGAGAAGCCCCCCACCACGAUGCAGGCGCAUUCCAUCUGAAUAACUCAACGCUGUUUUCUUACUUUUGAGGUACGCCUGCCCUGCCUUCAAUCCACCACAAGCACAGUCCCAUUCGAUAUGUCCCGGGUGUAUUACAAGGCACAAACCCAAAGCACUCACAUGCCGACCACCGGCAGCAGCUUACCUUCCAAUUUCUUCUCUUUGCUCAACAAGUAAAACAGGUGCCACCGCAGAGCUGCAGGACGGCCUCUGAGGAGCACGAUGCUCGGCGCCAGCUCUGCGAGCCCCUCCCUGCCGCCUCAGCUCCUGCUGUGCCCGCCUCCCCGGAGCCGUGCUCGGCGCACCCUGCUCCCUCGGUAUUCCCUCCUCAGAGCCUAGCACGGCUACAGGCCGUGAAACAAGCUAAGCAAGACAACACUUCUGUCUAACCUAUAACUGUCUCAGGUAAUCCUAUUUAGAUUUACACAGAUUUAAGUCUAGCACAAAACUAGUCGACAGCUACAAGUCGUGUUAAAACCUAAAUAAAGAUGGAUAUAAUGGUUUCACACACACACAUAUUCCAAACAAAAUAAAAAUAAAUUUUUUCUCUAAUUCCAAAAGCAACAUUCUCUGACUCCACACCUGAAGGGACUUUUUCAAAUUCAUGGUACUUUAGACCAAGUUGCUGUCCACUG
This is a long non-coding RNA of Physeter macrocephalus (sperm whale), 3218 nucleotides long. RefSeq lists it as uncharacterized. The record is from RefSeq and is a predicted model, not a curated record. The transcript has 3 exons. NCBI's taxonomy places the organism in Eukaryota, Metazoa, Chordata, Mammalia, Artiodactyla, Physeteridae.